Molecule: ribosomal RNA, 253 nt
Filed under: uncultured bacterium
Lineage: Bacteria
Description: partial 16S ribosomal RNA
Rfam family: Bacterial small subunit ribosomal RNA
Source: RNAcentral
UACGUAGGGUGCGAGCGUUAAUCGGAAUUACUGGGCGUAAAGCGUGCGCAGGCGGUUUUUUAAGCCAGAUGGGAAAUCCCCGGGCUCAACCUGGGAAUGGCAUUUGGGACUGCAAGGCUGGAGUUUGGCAGAGGAGACUGGAAUUCCUGGUGUAGCAGUGAAAUGCGUAGAUAUCAGGAGGAAUACCGAUGGCGAAGGCAGGUCUCUGGGCUAUAACUGACGCUCAUGCACGAAAGCGUGGGGAGCAAACAGG